CUAACGCGUGAAGGCGAGCACUCUAGACGAACUGCCGUUGACAAAACGGAGGAAGGUGGGGAGUGACGUCAAAUCAUCAUGCCCCUUAUGUUCUGGGCUACACACGUGCUACAAUGGCCGGUACAGACGGACGCAAAGCCGCGAGGUGGAGCAAAUCCUAAAAAGCCGGUCUCAGUUCGGAUUGCAGGCUGCAAUUCGCCUGCAUGAAGUCGGAAUCGCUAGUAAUCGCAGGUCAGCAUACUGCGGUGAAUACGUUCCCGGGCCUU
This 266-nucleotide ribosomal RNA is filed under the name uncultured Bacillus sp. RNAcentral's name for it is "partial 16S ribosomal RNA". It matches the Rfam family "Bacterial small subunit ribosomal RNA", at positions 1118 to 1382 of the family's 1533-position model. The record is from RNAcentral. Lineage: Bacteria; Bacillati; Bacillota; Bacilli; Caryophanales; Bacillaceae.